Long non-coding RNA from Mugil cephalus (flathead mullet), 790 nucleotides. RefSeq lists it as uncharacterized. The transcript has 5 exons. NCBI's taxonomy places the organism in Eukaryota, Metazoa, Chordata, Actinopteri, Mugiliformes, Mugilidae. The record is from RefSeq and is a predicted model, not a curated record.
UCUUCUUCGCCCGUCGUGUGCAGGAAGGAGCUCGGAAAAAAACUGCAGCAUGCUUUUUCUAAAGAUUGAGCCGUGUUUAUGUAUAAAUAUAAUGUUUAAUGAAGACGAACCGCCAUGAACAUUUUUACGAGUAAUUAACGAGACUCGAUGUGUGGCAGUAUGGAGGCGGUCAGCAGGUUAGUUGAGCUAGUUAAUCCUAGUUAGUUAGCUGUUAGCUCUCUUUUAGCCGGGCUAACACGUGUGAAGAGACCACGCUGGCCAGGCAGCUCUGAAUCAUGUGUACUGACGCUCACCUUCAUCUCAGGACCAUUUUAAAGGUCUGUGGCUGGACUUGGCUCAAUCAGCAGCAAGACACUAAAUGGAAAAAGAUGUGACGGUGAAGAAAGACGAUCAUCAUCUUCUAUAGAGGAAACAGACGGAGUCGGAGGAGAAGCAGACGUCUGAUACUGAACGCAGGAUUUAUUAAUACAAAAAAUAACAAUGUUUCAUAAAACGAUGUAUAAAAUUCAAGUACUGAGCACCUGGAAACACCAACAUGAUCCAGCAUGUGUCGGUCAAUCAGUGGUGAAAGAUGAUCUGUAAGGUUUCUUCUUCAGAUUCUCUAGAAAGAUCUGUUCCUCCUGGAGAAAUUCCCGGUCCUGUGGGCGAGAAACGCCAGACGAGAUUUGAAUCUGUGUGUAAUCGUAUGAGCUGUGUUGACUUCAUUAAAUCCACAAGUCCUGGAAUUUAUUGAUGCCUGAAUUUGAAUUUUAUUGAGUGUUUUGAAUAAAAAGUUUAUGAAAACCUGGAA